RNAcentral lists this ribosomal RNA (301 nucleotides) under uncultured bacterium. RNAcentral's name for it is "partial 16S ribosomal RNA". It matches the Rfam family "Bacterial small subunit ribosomal RNA", at positions 509 to 807 of the family's 1533-position model. The record is from RNAcentral.
CAGUCGCCACGGUAAUACGGAGGGCGCGAGCGUUACCCGGAUUUACUGGGCGUAAAGGGCGUGUAGGCGGCCUGGGGCGUCCCAUGUGAAAGGCCCCGGCUCAACCGUGGAGGAGCGUGGGAUACGCUCAGGCUAGAGGGUGGGAGAGGGUGGUGGAAUUCCCGGAGUAGCGAUGAAAUGCGCAGAUACCGGGAGGAACGCCGAUGGCGAAGGCAGCCACCUGGUCCACUACUGACGCUGAGGCGCGAAAGCGUGGGGAGCAAACCGGAUUAGAGACCCGAGUAGUCCCUGUCUCUUAUAC